RNAcentral lists this ribosomal RNA (17 nucleotides) under Hygrocybe chlorophana. RNAcentral describes it as "partial large subunit ribosomal RNA". Lineage: Eukaryota; Fungi; Basidiomycota; Agaricomycetes; Agaricales; Hygrophoraceae. RNAcentral also lists the same sequence under 1 other name. The record is from RNAcentral.
CUUGACAAUCAAAGCCC